Non-coding RNA from Labrus bergylta (ballan wrasse), 3258 nucleotides. The record is from RefSeq and is a predicted model, not a curated record. Lineage: Eukaryota; Metazoa; Chordata; Actinopteri; Labriformes; Labridae.
UGGAGAGUCCAGGCCUGACAGUCUGUUUGGGGAGCAGGAGGCGGCAGGUGGCCACUCCCUCACCUGUGUACUCUGCUGGAAGAAGCUCUCCUCUCUGUGCCAGAGCGUUUGGCAUAGCUGUGUGGAGCAAUGACAGCUGUGAGGGAGUUCAAGUCUGGGUUAGAACGAUACCAUACCGCACCCAGCAGCACCCAGCAGACCUGAUCGGUGUCAAGGGCAAGAAUCCCCAACAGGUGCCGUCCAGCUCGGAUUCAUAUGCAUUCAGACGGUAGCAGAAACGGACUGUGCAGAUGAAUGGACACCUGUAAGACAAAGAGAAGGGACACAAGAGCGCUGGAGGAGGAACAGGGGAGUUAUUUGCUCAGGGCAGCAGGUGUGUGUGGGAGUGUGGGUCCUUUCAAAAAUGGGGUGGUCACCGAAUCCAGACUCAGCGGGGGACCACAGUGCUCACCGAGGUGUGAAGUGGCCUGGGCCAGGAGCGGAUUAUAAACCUGUCGUGCUUUACAAUAGAGGUGAGAAGCAGCAAGGGGCCCUGGGUUACAGCUCAGCAAACAGGACAAACUGCACAUAUCCCAAACGUUAAGAGGGGCUGUGAAUGGAGACCUGCUGUUUGAAAUGAUAUACAAUUAAACCUCCUGCAGGAAGAAGUAUAAAGGUCACUGUGGUGGUCAUUAAACAGCGGGUCAUUAAAGACAGGUUAGACCUGUAAACAAGACAGGUUUGAUACCGUCACAAAGGGCGACUUAAAUGAUCACACUGACUCGCAAAUGUUGUGGAAAUUGAGUGUUAAAAUAAAGCUGAUUGGCUGAUUAUUUUGUUAGAUUGGCAAAAAAGUGUAACUUGUGUCAACAUUAAAGAAAGGAACUGAGAGGAUUAUUUCCAGUAACUCAAAUCUCCCUCACUGUGAUUAAGGCUGUUAAAUAAGAUCAACUAAAUCGAUCCAAACAGAGGAAUAAAGAGUAAUAAAUAUAGAUGUUUAGAAUCAAUUAAAUUCAAAUUAAUUACUUUCAAGAAAACAAUCUACCGUGCAUAAACAAUUUUAAGUUGUUUAAACUUGAAAGGAGAAAGGUUACUCUCCUAGGAUAAACAUUAUGGAUCUAAUACAGGACCAUUUUGACCUUUAAAUAUAGAUUUGUUAAAUCAGUUUUCUUGACAGGCACUAGGUAGAAUCAAUUUGUUUAUUUCAGCAAAAAUAGUGAAAAAAGGUGCGCCAGUGGGCCUUGUGGUUAGGUCGCACUCCUCAUGUAUAGAGGCUUUAGUUCUCGAAGCUGGCAGCCCGGGUUUGACUCUGACACCCUAAGCUCUUUACCUGCAUUUCUGUCCCUAAUUUCCUCCUCUAUCCACUGUCCUGUCUCUAAAAUAAAGAAUUUCUUUAUGAAGAAAACAGGAUUCAUUUAAACCACUAUUCAUUUAAAAAUGAGCUUUAAUUUUGAAACUGUAAGCUUACCACUGCUUUAAGUGAGAUACAAAAUGUACAGCCCCAGGCACAUGGAGUAAAUGUUUUUUUAUUUUGUUGAACCCUUUAAACUCUGUGGGAUAACUCACUCUAGAAUGAGGUUUAAAUUCCAGCUCAUACACCUGUUAGAAAUGCCUGAAUGUGAAGGUUGUUUUUUUUUAAUGUGGUGACUUUGAACUUUCUGGCAAAACAAAGCAGCCGCCCCUGUCAGAACUUUGUUUUACUUUCCAGUGACACCCCGAGGUCUUUGGUUUGUCUCCGAUUUGUUUUAGCGCGAUGUAGGAGCAUGAAAAGAACUGAACUGGGAGACAGGGAUUUCUAUCAUUGUGAUUAUUAUCAAGUAUACGUUUCACACAAAAAAAAACGCAAUGACCCCUUGAUUUCCAAUAAGGUAUGAUGUAUUAAGCUGAGGUGACACAUUUACCUGUCACUCUCCCCUGACUGGAUCUUAACGAGGCAUUUGGGGGCUGUCACCGUUGUGGGUGUAGUCGGGGAGUGUUGGGACACGUUCAGAGGGCAGUGAUGGCACGCCUGGCAUGCUUCAGUGGAUUUUAUGUUCGUCAGCUGCUCAGGGCAUCAAACAGUGUAAUGACAUGACAGAGGUCAGUCUUCAUAGUGCUCUGCUGAGACACAAAAAUGGAGGAAAGAUGGUUCAGGAUGUAAUUGUAAGCUGGUUUAUGUGCAUCUGUGUCAAAGAAUUUAAAAAAGAAAACAUAAUUACAGGUGCAUACUAUCGGGUAAACUUCAGGCGGCAGAUUGAGAUUUCUUUCUGAUAGCCAAUAGAAAAUAAAUGACUGGUAAAGAGGGAUGAAGAAUAGAGAAAAUGACAUGACAUCCAUUAACUGUAUAUAGCAUUGAUGCAGUGUCUCAUCUUAUCUGAAAAGUAGUUUUUUUUUAUUUGAGUGGAGGUUUAUAAGUGAUUCUGUCACUAAAUGCUGAGGGAGUUUGGUUCUAAAUGGGGAUGCAGGCAGGUUGUUAUUAAAGACUCAAACAUGAUGAUUCAGGGUCAGUACAACCAAAUAAAAAGAGAAAAAGCAAAGAUGAUUGAAUGUUUUCUAAAUGGGACUACUUUCCAUGAAAGAAAUAGUCGCUAUAAAAGACUGUUGACAGCAAGGUUCAAGAUUAUCAAGAUGAACACUGACACUGGACUAGAAAAGAAAAAAACAUGUUUAGUUGUUCAAAAACCACAAACUAAAUUUCAAUGGCUUCAGUUGUAUCACAGUGGAGACAGAAAUGUAAGAGUCUAAUAAUUCAAAAUCAAGAUAACCUAUCAGUACAAGAUGCAUAUUCUGCAAGCGCUGCAAACUAUUAAACUACGUCUUAACAACCAAACUAUUAAAUAACCUCAGAUGCACUCUUGCAUUGAUUUCCAUGUGUAUUUCUUUUUUUACUGUCACAGGUCAUCUUAAAUUACUUCAUAGUGUGACUUCAUAUAUGAUUUCCAUGCUUUACACGCCUUUAGAUAAAAGUAAAUGUGUGCAAAUCAACAUGCAAAGAAACAUGUCCCUUUAAACUGAAUAACCUUUUGUCAGCAUUAAACUCUGAUUGUUGUUGUGUUAACACUAAAUGAGGUAAAUUGCAUUAAAUUGUCGUUUAGCUGAACUGCUGUCCUGUCAGGUUAAAGGCAGGGAAGAGACUGAUCCGACAAACGUUCACUCAUGCUUCCUUUGAAAACGCUCUCCUGCACCCUUCCACUCUCACUGACACACACACGCCUGCAUGCACAUGCACAUCCACACAAACAAACAUCCUCCCUCUCACCGCACACAACCUCGCACGGAAAACAGAGGGGGGAGGGGCAA